This 376-nucleotide ribosomal RNA is filed under the name uncultured bacterium. RNAcentral describes it as "bacterial SSU rRNA". It matches the Rfam family "Bacterial small subunit ribosomal RNA", at positions 523 to 898 of the family's 1533-position model. The record is from RNAcentral.
AUACGUAGGGAGCGAGCGUUGUCCGGAUUUACUGGGUGUAAAGGGUGCGUAGGCGGCUCUGCAAGUCAGGUGUGAAAACCAUCGGCUUAACUGAUGGACUGCAUUUGAAACUGUGGGGCUUGAGUGGAGUAGAGGCAGACGGAAUUCCCGGUGUAGCGGUGAAAUGCGUAGAGAUCGGGAAGAACACCAGUGGCGAAGGCGGUCUGCUGGGCUCUAACUGACGCUGAGGCACGAAAGCAUGGGUAGCAAACAGGAUUAGAUACCCUGGUAGUCCAUGCCGUAAACGAUGAUUACUAGGUGUGGGGAGUCUGACCCUCUCCGUGCCGGAGUUAACACAAUAAGCACUCCGCCUGGGGAGUACGGUCGCAAGACUGAA